Molecule: ribosomal RNA, 497 nt
Filed under: uncultured bacterium
Lineage: Bacteria
Description: partial 16S ribosomal RNA
Rfam family: Bacterial small subunit ribosomal RNA
Source: RNAcentral
GAUGAACGCUGGCGGCGUGCCUAAUACAUGCAAGUCGAGCGAACAGACGAGGAGCUUGCUCCUCUGAUGUUAGCGGCGGACGGGUGAGUAACACGUGGAUAACCUAUCUAUAAGACUGGGAUAACUUCGGGAAACCGGAGCUAAUACCGGAUAACAUGUUGAACCGCAUGGUUCAACAGUGAAAGACGGUCUUGCUGUCACUUAUAGAUGGAUCCGCGCCGCAUUAGCUAGUUGGUAAGGUAACGGCUUACCAAGGCAACGAUGCGUAGCCGACCUGGGAGGGUGAUCGGCCACACGGGAACUGAGACACGGUCCAGACUCCUACGGGAGGCGGCAGUAGGGAAUCUUCCGCAAUGGGCGAAAGCCUGACGGAGCAACGCCGCGUGAGUGAAGAAGGUCUUCGGAUCGUAAAACUCUGUUAUUAGGGAAGAACAAAUGUGUAAGUAACUAUGCACGUCUUGACGGUACCUAAUCAGAAAGCCACGGCUAACUACGUG